UGUGAGUUCAACGUUGCGUGCGGCUACGCGGGGAGAAGGUGAACAUCCCACUCGCCUACCUUGGCGCUGUUUGAAACCGAGAGCCGGGCGCCCCCACGGCGCAGCUCCAGGACGCACUGCUGCUCCCCCUUACCUCGUUCAAAAUAACUCAUAUUUUUCUCCGUUGUCGAGCACCGAUUCUGGGGAGAACUCACGAGCGCGCUUCCAAAGGGAAUCCACUCACUUUUUGGCCACUCCUUGCAGGCUGCGAUCCCAUCCCACGCGCGCUUUCAAAGAGUAAGUGUAACACAGUCGGUGUGGCUGAAGUAGCUUAGUUGGGAGAUCGUUCAACUGGAAGAUUCAAAGGUCCCUGGAUCCAUCCCGGGUUUCGGCAACAAUAACUUUCAUUUCGGGGUUGGGCUAGACGAAUCUCGGGUAUAUUUUCCAGCUCCAGAGUUCUAUUAUUCCUCCGAGUCGCUCCACCUGCAGGUUAGUUCCCUGAGGAUUGUAAGAGUUUCCACAGGGCAAUCCUAGGCGUGUUUACUCGGAAGUAAGAGUCACGUUUGAGGCCAAUGGGGCGUGUCCCCAACCAGGUACUUGUGUUUUAGGACUGCGGCAGUCAAGUGUAUUCCAUGCGUACUGGGCAUGUAAGCCCCUUCUAAGUAAACAUGCGGCUCCUGGCAAUCUUAGGCGCGUCUAUUCAGAAGUAAGCCCCACUGAAGUCAAUAGGACUUUUGGCAAGGCAAAUCUGCAUAGGAUUGCUUUCUAACUUUUAGUUAAGGGAAAGUAUCUGUCCGUCCCGCCUUUUUUUUUGACCAGCGUUUGUUUUUAAAUCUUGUUCUUUUCAGUCUUUUUGAUAAAGCAGGCACUUCAUUCCCGCUGAGACCGCUCAAUAUUUUUAUCCCGAAUUAGAAACAAUCAGCGGAGCAUCUUGGAAACAGAUGAAUGAAGUUCUUGUUCCCUCUCUGGGCCUGGUUUUGAUCACAUGCACAUACCAAGCUUGGGAGGAGGAGGGCAACAUCAAGUUCCGGAAAAAACACUUGGUUCAGACCUAGCAUUCAGUGGGAAGUAGCAAUGUGCUUUGUCUUCUAAAGAAGGUGGAGAGAGUAGACUUUAAAAUAAAAAUAAAAUUAACCUGCCUCUAGCCAAUAAGCAAGUAUUUUUUAAAGUUUCCAAUAAGUAAUACUUAUUGUGUCCGACUCUUCGUGACCCCAUGGACCAGAGCACGCCAGGCACUCUUGUCUUCCACUGCCUCCCGCAGUUUGGUCAAACUCUUGCUGGUAGAUUCGAGAACACUGUCCAACCAUCUUGUCCUCUGUCAUCCCCUUCUCCUUGUGCCCUCAAUCUUUCCUAACAUCAGGGUCUUUUCCAGGGAGUCUUCUCUUCUCAUGAGGUGGCCAAAUAUUGGAGUCUCAGCUUCAGGAUCUGUCCUUCCAGUGAGCACUCAGGGCUGAUUUCCUUCAGAAUGGGUAGGUUUGAUCUUCUUGCAGUGCAUGGGACUCUCAAGAAUCUCCUCCAACACCAUAAUUCAAAAGCAUCAAUUCUUCGGCAAUCAGCCUUCUUUAUGGUCCAGCUCUCAUUUCCAUACAUCACUACAGGGAAAACCAUAGCUUUAACUGUACGGACCUUUGUUGGCAAGGUGAUGUCUCUACUAAGUAAUACUAGUAAGACUUAAUUAUGUCCUGUCAUGUCUGAGGCCACAUUCCAAAAUUAUAAUGGGAAAAAAUUGGCACCCAUCUGGCUUUUUGCAGUAGCAAUGUUUAUCUGGGCAAACAUCCUCUGUUAGGUUGACUUCCUGCUUCACCACAGUUAACCUGCUUUUAAUUUUUUAGUAUCUGUGUGAGUGCUAAUCUAUUCACCAGUCUUAAUCCUCUCUCUUUAUGACUUUUGAUGUAACUGCAUAUUGAUCACAGUGAAACUUAUUUCUGAGUAAAAUGCUAUAAGCAGUGCUAUUUUUCUAGAAAAAGAGAUACUGAAACUCACCUGGUUCUCUUAUAAUGGUGAUGGAGCCCACCUGAGAGGUGCUGGCUUGGGAGAGUGCAUCUUUGUUUGAGACUCUGCCCUGCCAUGUAGGCCCAAAACCUUCCUGAUUGCAGCACAUGUGGAAAGCAUUGAGGUGUCUCUCUGGCUUUUGUAAGUUGCCCACGACUCACUUCCUUAAAGCAGCAUGCUCAGCACGCAAGUCUGGAACCAUGUUGAUUGUAAUCAGUGCUGCCUGUGAGCAAUGCAAUGCAAUACACAAUUAUAAAAACAAUAAAGCUGUCACAAUAAAAAAACAAGUGGUUAUGCUUUGUGUGAAGCAUCCCAUAAACGUGUGUGUGUGUGUGUGUGUAAGAGAGAGAGAGAGAGGCAACACUAUGCAUUUCUAUGUUCAGCUAUAAAAUGGGGCAGAGAUUGACUUUUCUAAAAGCUUCAGCAUCGCCUUGCUAUGGACAGAUGCUUUUAAGCCUGGUAUCUUGCUUAUGUAUUUAUUAAAUUUGUAUUGUCAACCUUUUCAGACCCAGGACCCUCUUUCUGCAUUUCUUAACCUUUUAACAUCUAUUUGCAUGGUGGUUGUGCUGCUCUUACAGUCCCCCUUGGAUCAGGCCAUGCUCCCCACUUGUGGGUCCCAAUCCACCAGCUGAAGACUGCUCUAAGCCCUUUCCUCCAGCUCAGCACCAACACUGGAGGUGAGCCAGGCUGGAGGGGAACAACUUGAUGCAACUACAUGUGGCAAGGUGAGGGCCAUCAAAGGUUUCAAUUCCUCUUCUCCCACGUGGUCAUUUUCAUCAGAGAUGUUCACUCCCUGCUUUAUAGUGAAACAAGCAGAUAUAGGGCCUUUGCUUCAUGGCAGAGCCUCUGCUCUUGCAUGCAGAAGGCCCCAGAUUCAAUUCCUGGCAACUCCAGGUAGGGUCGGGAGAUAACUGUACUUGAAAGGGUUGGGGGAGCAUGUCUUUAAGAAAUAGGGUUUAUUUUACACCUGGGUGUAGAUGGAGGGAGUGCAGGGUUCACAUCUCAAGAGGGGCUUGUUUGCCACAGCAGUGCAGCAUCACAUUCCAAGACAUCUCUAUGCCUUUGUCUCAGCCUGCCUUCAGCCACCUCGCCGAGAUGGUUCUGCCCUUCAGCCCUUGCAGGGAGUUUUGCCAACUUCCUUUUCUGUUCCCAGAAGCAGCCCAAGCAACUCCUCCCCUUCUGUCUCCUAUUCCAAGCCUAGUUUUAAAAGGGCACAUUUUUUCCUGUGUGACAUCACACCUUCCCCUCUCCUAUCAUUGGCAACCCCUGUUUUGUACAGACCCAAGGUUCCUUUUUUUAAUGUGUAGAUGUCUGGCCAUUGUUUCAUAAUGCCUUGCAUCCAACCAGCCCUGCCAGGCUAGUUUGCAUAGGCUGAACCCAGAAAUUUCUGUGUUUGAUGUAGAACGGCAAUCGCGAGCAUGGUAACUUUUCCAUUUAGUUAAAACAAGUGGGACCUGCAACAAAGUGUUGAAGUGUGUGGAGUGAUCCUGUUCAGGGUGUCAGCCAGCCAUCAAUGCCUUCUUCCUGAAUGGUCCCAUUUCAUUUUGCUUCUCCCCUGGUUUUCUGUUUCCACUGCCCCCCUCCCCCCACUCAAAAAGUGAUUUAUGACAACAGAGUACACUUGGUCUUCAUUUAGCUGUUCGGGGUUUCCCUACCAUCAUUAGGUUUUCCCCUCCUUUCUAAAAACAGUUCUAUACUUCGGCAAAGCUUGGAUUCACACUAGGAUAGUUGAAUUUGCUAUUAGUAUACUGUAUAUGAUAUUUUUUUUAAAUGCAAUUUUACAGCACAGUCCAGUGUCGACGGAUAUGUAUAUCCUAUUCAGGGGUUUUUCUCCCAGAUAAGCGGGUUAGGACUGCAAGCUUACCUAAUUUCUGUCAUUUAUAUCUCUGGGUACUUUGAUGUAAUAGACACACUGCUGAAAAUGGAGGGGGGGGGGGAAUAGGAAAAAGUGGAAAUUCCCAGCAAGCUAGUAUAGUUUGCACAGGGUAACCUCUGAGCAAUUCCCAAAGAUAACUUGGGAAAAUCCCCACUGUGGUUACUUUGUGGCUUGGCAUCUUAAGUAAUUUGGAAGGCAGCCUGGAUACUGGUGACCUUGGUUAUGAGCUGUUGGCAUAAAAAGCUGUGUUAAAAAAAAUAAUGCAAUUUUUGUCGGUAUGUCCACACAUUGAAAAGAACUGGAAAGUGAAAGUAAAGUCCUCUGCCACCCCCUUGUCAUUUCAUUCUUAUGACAUUUCAAUGUUCCAUUGAUUUGUCGAAUGGGACUUACCAUCUUCCUCCUGACAGUGUGGGGUUGGACCUUAGUUUCUCAUCCGUGACUUUCAUCUCCCAGCCGUUUAUGAUGAUGGGGAGCUAAAAUGUGUCUGGUGGGUAGGAAGCAGGAGUUCGCAAUGAUGAUGCUCUAGUUCCAGUGGUAGUGGGCAGGGGAAGGUACAGUUGAACUGGAGUGGCAGACCACUAUCUUGGGUGGAGGCUUAGAUGUUUGGUCUCUGUUCUUUGUUUCAGCUGUCUCACUCCUCUAGAAGGUAGCUUACUGCUUGGGUAUGCUGAUGCCCCAAAGCUCCAUUUAUCCAUAACACUGGACUCAGGAGGCCUUGGUAAUGGUAAAUGUAAAGGACCCCUGGACGAUUAAGUCCAGUCAAAGGCGACAAUGGGGCUGCAGCGCUCAUCUCACCUUCAGGCCGAGGGAGCCAGCGUUUGUCCACAGACAGCUUUCCGGGUCAUGUGGCCAGCAUGACUAAACCGCUUCUGGCGCAAUGGAACACUGUGAUGGAAAUCAGAAUGCAUGGAAACAUUGUUUACCUUCCCACCAGAGUGGUAUCUAUUUAUCUACUUGCACUGGCAUGCUUUCGAACUGCUAGGUUGGUAGGAGCUGGGACAGAGCAAUGGGAGCUCACUCUGUUGUGGGGAUUCGAACCACUGAUCUUCUGAUUGGCAAGCUCAAGAGGCUCAGUGGUUUAGACCACAACGCCACCCACAUCCCUUGGACUGGUGCCUUGUACUGGUGCUUGAACGCAGCAGUGUGGUGGAUGAAGAAAAACCAGCUGAGCUUGAGCCCUGGCAAGACAAAGACACUCUGGGUAAAGAGUUCUCAUGUCUGAGAAAUUGGUCAAUUGCUUACCCUGGAUGGGGUUGCAUUCCCCAUAAAGGACCAGCUUUAUAGCCUGGGCGUGCUGCUGGAUACAGCCUUGUCCUUGGAGGCCCAGGUGGCCUCAACAGUCAGAAGCACCUUCUACCAUCUUUGACAGCUACAGCAGCUAUGGCUAAUCCUAGACCAGGUGAGCUUGGCCAUGCAUUGGCUAUUUUCAAGAUUGGGUUACUGCAAUGCACUCUCUGCAAGGCUUGUCUUGCACUUGAUCCAGAAGCUUUAGUUAGCAUGGAGUGCUGCAGCAUGGUUGCUGACAGAAGUGGUAACCUGGUCAGCAUUUAACACAUCUUCUCAGAGACUUGCACUUAUUGCUGAUCUGCUACCAGGCCAAGUUCAUGGUGCUACUGUUAGUUAUGAUACCAGUGUGGUGUAGUAGUUGGAGUCAUAGAAUCGUAGACCUGGAAGGGACUCCAAGGGUCAUCCGGUUCCAUCCCCUGCAAUGUAGGAAUCUCAACUAAAGCAUCCAGGACAGAUGACCAUCCAACCUCUGCUUAAAAGCUUACAAGGAAGGAGCGUCACCAACCCCUUGAGGGAGUCCGUUCCACAGUCAAACAGCUCUUACUGCUAGAAGGUGUUUCCUGAUGUUUAGUCAGAAUCUCCUUUCUUGCAACUUGAAGCCAUUGGUUCAAGUCCUGCCCUCCAGAGCAGGAGAAAACAAGCUUGCUUCAUCUUCACCCUUAAGAUAGUUGAAGAUAGCUAUCAUAUCUCAUCUCAAACUCCUCUUUUCCAGGGUAAACGUACCCAGCUCCUUCAACCAUUCCUCAUAAGGCUUGGUUUCCAGAGCCUUGAUCAUCCUGGUCACCCUCCUCUGCACACAUUCCAGCUUGUAAAUAUCCUGUGGUGCCCAGAACUGGGCACAAUACUGGGCACAGUAACUGGGACAUGGGUGGUGCUGUAGUCUAAACCACUGAGCCUCUUGGGCUUGCCGAUCAGGUUGGUGGUUCAAAUCCCCGCAACGGGGUGAGCUCCUGUUGCUCUAUCCCAGCUCCUGCCAACCUAGCAGUUCGAAAGCACACCAGUGCAAGUAGAUAAAUAGGUACCGCUGUGGCGGGAAGGUAAAAGGUGUUUCUGUGAGCUUUGGCUUCUGUCAUGGUGUUCCAUUGUGCCAGAAGCGAUUUAGCAUAUCAAUAGCAAGCAGCAACUGAAGGGGGCUUCCAGACUUUUGCUGCUGAGGGGUGAGAUUCCACACCACAUACUGGCAAAUUCAGGUUACCCAGUUACAGUUGAGUAGGAGGUCAUGUGCAACAAACCCACUUCCCCAAAAGAUUGGUGUUUUUGCAAUAAGGAGAACAAAGGGGGAAAUGUACUAGAAAGUGUAGGAGACAAAACACUUGCUUUGAAACAGUGUCAUCCAACGCUUUCCUGCAAACAAAGCAGAAUGUGUGUUCCACAGAUUGUCUGGAAAAGCCCUGAGUGAGAGGAACAAAGAAUACCAUGUAUAGGAAGAGGAGCAAUGGCUCCUUCUUAAAGUGUUGCUGUUUGAGGCCUAUAAGCUGAAUGAAGUUUCCAUGGUUAGAGGAUUCUGUGACCAUGCACAUAUUUCAAACUGGGCAGAAGUCUUGGGAAAUCCCCUCGCUCCCCCACCACUCCAGCUAAGCAGGUUUUCAAUGGAAAGGAGGAAACAGUUCUGUAACAAUUGGAACUUUUAAGGAAACACUGCAUGAAUAACCUUAGAUUCUACAAACUUAACAGCUUUGGAUGGGGGGUGGGUGGGAGAGAAGCACCCCUUGCAUGAUGGAGCCACUUACAGUUAGCGAUAGUUUCAAUUAUAGGUAAAGGUAAAGGACCCCUGGACAGUUAAGUCCAAAAGCGACCAUGGGGUUGUGGCAUUAAUCUCGCUUCAGGCCAAGGAAGCCAGUGUUUGUCCACAGUGUGUUUCCGGGUCAUGUGGCCAGCAUGACUAAACCACUUCUGGCACAACGGGACACUGUGACAGAAGCCAGAGUGCACAGAAAUGACAUUUACCUUCGCACUACAGCAGUACCUAUUUAUCUACUUGCACUGGAGUGCUUUCGAACUGCUAGGUUGGCAGGAGCUGGGACAGAGCAACGGGAGCUCAUCCCGUUACAUGGAUUCGAAGCGCCAACCUUCCGAUCAGCAUGUCCAAGAGCCUUGGUGGUUUAGACCACAGCACCACCCGCGUCCCAAGUUUCAGUUAUACACUGUGUAGGCAGAAGUGAUUUACACUCUGCAAUGCUGCACCUUGUUUGUCCUCCAGUGAAGACAUACCCUAGACCAGUGGUUCCCAAUUGGUAGUCUGCAGACCCCUACCCAGGGGAUCAAUGGCACCAUUCACAUAACAAAAUAUACCAUAGAGAUAUCAACAUUUUCAAAAUUAGGGGGCCCAUGGCUUGGCUUUUGAAAAACAGGAGUUCCCCAGUGCUUAGCUUAAUGGGAACCACUGCCCCAAUUGGUAUAUGCCAACAGCAAGUUGAUUCUCUGUGUGAUUCUCCAAGUUUGGUCCAUGUGUUGCCCAAACAGCUCCAUCCACACACAAGGGAGGGUAUCUGUAUUCCUUGGGGAUCCCCAAGGUUAGGCUAACUAAAGUGCCAGUUCUCCAGAUCAAAAUGGUCUAGUGGAUAUAUAUUGGAUAAGGUGAUGUCACAAAUAAAAUGGUCCCAAGCUGUGACUAGAUGUUCUCUGGCCUGCCCUUAGUGGAUAGUCACUUGGUGGGUACCUGAGAUAGGGCCUUGUCUGUGGUGGCACCACAGCUAUCGAAUCCCCUUCCCAGUGAGAUCUGAGAAGCCUCAGGGCAGAGGUUACAGGAGUUUACAGUCUUUGAGAAAGGGGAAGAUGGAGGCCCAGGGUAAUAAAGGAAGAAUGCAUGGUGUUAGACUUCCUUAGCAAAAAUGUCAUAAACGUGACAAGCAGAACCAUUGCCAAACUGGAUUUCAUAAUUUCACAAAAGACUAUUUCUAAUGCGAGUAUUAGAUCUUGCUUUUUAGGAUGUUUCCUUUUUCCUGCUAAGCUCUUAUCUGUGAUGCUGACAUUACUGCUCCUUGGAUGAAGAAUGUGAGCUAAUUGCAAGAGUCAUCUGCUUAGUUCUUGAGGGCCACAGUGUGAGCUCUAAUAUUGCUUGUUGCUUGUUUUCCUGUAAUAAUAAUAAUAAUAAUAAUAAUAAUUUAUCAUUUAUACCCCACCCAUCUAGCUGGGUUUCCCCAGCCACUCUGUGCGGGUUCCAACAAAAUAUUAAAAUACAAUAGUCCUUCAGAUAUUAAAAGCUUCCCUAAACAGGGCUGCCUUCAGAUGUCUUCUAAAAGUCUGGUAGUUGUUUUUUCCUUUGACAUCUGGUGGGAGGGCGUUCCACAGGGCGGAUGCCACUACAGAGAAGGCCCUCUGCAUGGUUUCCUGUAACUUCUCUUCUUGCAGUGAGGGAAUCGCCAGAAGGCCCUCGACGCUGGACCUCAGUGUACGGGCAGAACGAUGGGGGUGGAGAUGCUCCUUCAGGUAUACUGGACUGAGGCCAUUUAGGGCUUUAAAGGUCAGCACCAACACUUUGAAUUGUGCUCGGAAAUGUACUGGGAGCCAGUGUAGGUCUUUCAAGACCAGCAUGUGGUCUCAGCGGCCGUUCCCAGUCACCAGUCUGGCUGCCGCAUUCUGGAUUAGUUGUAGUUUCCGGGUCACCUUCAAAGGUAGCCCCACAUAGAGCGCUUUGCAGUAGUCCGAGCGAGAUAACUAGAGCAUGCACCACUCUGGCGAGAUAGUCUGCGGGCAGGUAGGGUCUCAGUCUGCAUGGUAAACAGUUGCCCUGGACACAGAAUUGAUUUGUGCCUCCAUGGACAGCUGCGAGUCCAAAAUGACUCCUAGGCUGCACACCUGGUCCUUCAGGGGCACAGUUACCUCCUUCAGGACCAGGGAGUCUUCUACACCUGCCUACCUCCUGUCCCCCCAAAACAGUACUUCUGUCUUGUCAGGAUUCAACCUCAAUUUGUUAGCUGCCAUCCAUCCUCCAGCUGCCUCCAGACACUGUUUUACUUCUGAUAAUACAAAUGGACUUCCUUAACUUGUGUCAUGUUUUCAAGCAAACCUUCUGGAGUGAAAAUGGUGCUGGGGAGGGGGCAAAAUGGGUGUCAUGAACACAUCUGCCCCAAGUAGAUAAACACAGCAUGAGUCAGUAAGUCUUCUCCCCCUCUCUCUGACACAGAAUGGAAUGUUGAUAAGGAGUCGGCAGAGAAGCACAGGCAGACUUAGAAAGCAAGCGAAAUAGCAUUUCCUCAUUGGAAGCGGAGGCAAUUAAUCAUCUGAGCCCAAGGAGUUGUCGUAUGGGAAAGGUAUUAGACAAGAAACAAAGCCAGAAAUGUAAGGAUCAUAGGUUCAGGAUAUUCUGCAAAACCAGAAAGCAUUCUUCAGAAGGGUCAACUGAUUCAUAAGCCACUGAUGUUCGGUUAGACGUCCGAGGCUAAUUGUAUUGCAAUAUAUCUUCAAGCUAAUUACGACUUGCGUGCUGUGUUAUCAAGAUGACAGCCUGGGCUCCUGACAACGGGCUUCAAUUCCCCAAUUAUCCAUACCCUCUGACAUUUCUUGGAUGAAAAUAGGGACGUCCUAUUCCAUACGCGGGUGGCGCUGUGGGUUAAACCACAGGGCCUAGGACUUGCUGAUCAGAAGGUUGGCGGUUCGAAUCCCCGUGAUGGGGUGAGCUCCCGUUGCUCGGUCCCUGCUCCUGCCAACCUAGCAGUUCGAAAGCACAUCAAAGUGCAAGUAGAUAAAUAGGUACCACUCCGGUGGGAAGGUAAACGGCGUUUCUGUGUGCUGCUCUGGUUCGCCAGAAGCGGCUUAGUCAUGCUGGCCACAUGACCCGGAAGCUGUACGCCGGCUCCCUCGGCCAAUAAAGCGAGAUGAGCACCGCAACCCCAGAGUCAGCCACGACUGGACCUAAUGGUCAGGGGUCCCUUUACCUUUUAUUCCAUACUAAUAAUACCAAUAAUUUCAUUAUUUAUACUCUGCCCAUCUGAUUGGGUUGCCGCAGCCACUCUGGGCGGCUUCCAACAUAUAUAAAAACAUAAUAAAACAUUAAACAUUUUAAAAAACUUCCCAAUGCAGGGCUGCCUUCAGAUGUCCUCUAAAGGUUGUAUCGUUCCUUAUCUCCUUGGCUUGGGGGUUGCAUAACUCCAUACCAUCCAACAUUUCUCUGAUGAAAAUAGGGAUGUCCUGGGGAAAAAUGGGACAUUCCAGGAUCAAAUCAGAAACUAGGAUAGCUUCUAUAAAUCCAGGACUGUCCCUGGAAAAUAGGGACAUUUGGAGCAUCUGCUAUUCUCCUUAUCACUUGGUUACAAGGAAAUCUUUUAUAAAGGAGGGUUCCAUGAUGUAAGACCAGUGUGAGGAAACUGUACCAGCCGAAGAGUCACAUUCUUUUGUGGGGAACUUUCGGAAGGCCACAUGCCAGGUGGUGGGUGAGACCAGAGUCAAAAGUGGGUGGAGUAGUGGACAUGACUCUCAUCUUCAUAACAGUAGGCAGCAUUUUGGGUGCAUGUCAGAGAUUUCCACAUAAAAACAUGAAAACACACACUCUUCAUCCUCCACCCAGACAAGAACAUGGCAUUAUCCAAGUCCAGAGACACAUUUCAGCCAGGAAAAAGCACUUGAGAAGGGAGCACAGGAAAGCUGGUGUGGGGAGUGGCCUGGGGAGAGUCUUGAGGGCCUGGUAGAGAGGAUUGGAGGGCCACGUUCCCCACCCUUGAUGCAAAAGGACUUGAUGCAAAAGAUAUUGAGCUCUACAGUGGUUAAAUAAGGGUUCAGGUUAAAUUGGAAGUGUGUCUUUGUAAGCCAAAUAGAAGUGGCUCAGGAGGAUUUCCGAAGGGAGACAAGUGGCAUUAUUUAGUCAAAGAAUCAGGAUGUGAACAGCAGGCAGGCAGACGUUCGCUGCAGGGAAUCAGUGCUUCUCCCCCACCUAGGCAAACAGCCUCCUGCAGCAGACUUCCAAUUUCCUUUCUAUCUAUAUCUGCAAAUGAUAAUAGUGAAGGAGAAAGAGAGAAGAAAGCCAUUUUAAAAUCCACUGGUACAUUUGUUUGUGUGUGUGUACAGGAAACGUAAAAAACAUUCUGUUGUGUGCAAGAUUCUGCCUUUAACCCAGGAACACAGUUGUCAGAAAAGUAUAUAUGAAUGAGGAGGCGGUUUGUGUUCUUCGCAAUAGAUUUUUGUAUGUUUUGGUUGCCACCUUGUGGUAAAAUGCCAGCAUGACUUUCAUUUCUUUUGAAAGUGUAAGGUUGGCCAUCCAAGUCCAGCUAACCAAAGAAAUGGGAAUCAGGAUUUUUCUUUUGGGGGGGGGGAGGAGGAGAAUGCUUAAACAUGUUGCAUGUUUUAAAAGGUUGCAUUAGAAGUUGCUUAGCCCCGUGGUUAGAGCUUACGGCAAGUUCAGAUGAAGUAACUGUUCUGGCAACGAGCGAGGUAAGUGUAAAAUGAUUUGGGGAUUUUGGGGGCGGGGGGGAGAACAAACAAGCUGGCAUAUAUUUAUUUUUAAAGUUCCCAUAACAACUAGUAAUGAGAACUUUGAAGAAACAUUAUAGUCAAGAAAGAGAACAUAUUUCAGCCUAAGGACCAAAUUCGCUUGUGGGGAACUUUCGGAAGCUGCAUGCCAGAGGUGGGGCAGAUUCACAGGUGGACAGAGUAAUUUAUAUAACUCUUAAACUCAAACGGUAGAGCAUAAGACUCUUAAUCUCAGGGCUGUGGGUUUGAGUUCCAUGUUGAGUGAAGGAUUCCAGCAUCGCAGGGGGUUACACUAUAUUAUUCUCAUGGUCCCUUCCAACUUUAUGAUUCCAUGAUUCUCUGGUACAGUGAGCGAUGAGCCCCUUUAGACUGGUGUUUUGUCGCAGAUGCAUUCUGAAACAUGCUCCUGACACAUGUGGUAGAUUUAUUCUGCUUUAUUAGUUAUUCUGUGCUUCCCUAGUACCACCACAUUAUUGCUGUCUGAAGCACUAUAGUGCAAUUAUAGUGGGACAACCCCCCCCCCAACUCCUUGAUCACCUGUGGUAUGAAAAGUUACAAGUUUGAGCAGGAAGUUCCAGAAUAUGUUUGAUGUGCUGGUUCUGGUGUACAAAGCCCUAUACAGCUAUACCUAAAGAAUAAUCUUUACCUCUAUAUUCUCAGUUGAUCAUUGUGUUCUCCAAGAAAGGGCAUUCUUCAGAUCCACAUCUUUUCAGGAGGUCCAUCCUGCAUGAUGUCCGAAUCAGGGCUUUAGAGUGUGGCACCUACUUUUUAGUUACCGGUUCUGGGUGUUAAUAUGUCUGAACCCCCUCCCACCCCCCACUCAAAUUCCAUGUCAGGGAUCAUGAGGAAAGAGACUGAAAGCAAGACUGCCAACAAAAAGGUAAAGGUAAAGGACCCCUGGACAGUUAAGUCCAGUCAAAGGCGACUAUAGGGUUGCAGCACUCAUCUCACUUUUAGGCAGAGGGAGCCAGACAGCUUUCUGGGUCAUGUGGCCACAUUGACUAAACCGCUUCUGACGCAACAGGACUGAAGCCAGAGAGCAUGGAAACGCCAUUAACCUUCCCACCGCAGUGGUACCUAUUUAUCUACUUGCACUGGUGUGCUUUCAAACUGCUAGGUUGGCAGGAGCUGGGACAGAGCAACAGGAGCUCACUCCGUCACGGGGAUUCAAACCACUGACCUUCUGAUCAACAAGCCCAAGAGGCUCAGUGGUUUAGACCACAGUGCUACCUGCGUCCCUAAGACUACCAAUAAUGCUAUCAUACGAAUAUCUGGUGCAAGCACACUUGGAAUUCUGUGUAUCAUUCUGCAUGCCUCACCUUCAAAAAGAUUGCUGGAAAAGGGUCAGAAAAGGGCAACCUGAACUAUCAGGGUGAUGAAGCAACUUCCCCUCUAAGGUUAUAGGUCUUUUGAGCUUAGAGAUAAGAAAUAGUAAGUCGAUGUAUGAUAGAGACGUAGAAGAUUGAGCAUUGGUGUGCAGAAAGCGGAUAGAAGUUUUUCUUCUCUCAUAAUACUGGAACCCAGAGCCAUCCAGCGAAACUGAAUGUGGGGAGAUUCUCUAUAGACAAAAGGAGGCCCGUCUUCACACGCUGCACAGUUAAACCAUGGAAUGUGCUCCUACAACUUGAUGGUCACCAACUUUGAUGGCUGUUAAAGAGGAUUAGACAAAUUCAUGGAGGAUAAGGCUACCAGUAGCUAUGUCUUCUCAUGACAACUAUGUUAUACUUCCAGGACUAUUUGCCUCUGGCUAUCAGUUGCUGAGAAUCACAAGUGCAAGAGACGGCUGUUGCACUCAGGUAUCUGGUUGGCUGAAUCCUGAACUAGAUGGGUCUUUGGUCUGAUCCAUCAUGGCUAUCCUUACUUUUUUAUGUCCUCGCGACAAAGUGAUUCCCCCCUCACACUGUUGCUGCAUUUUGUGUAGAAUGAAUGUUAUGCUGUUGUCUUUGAAAUAUAAUUUGAAGAGCACUCCUACAGAGGCUCAGAUGAUGUACGUGUUACUGAGUGCCUGGGCAAACUUUUGAGGAUCAAGAGAGAACUGUUGUCGGCACUCCAUCUAGCCACAUGGUGUCACUGUAGUCACAAAUUCUCUGAUCUUGUUUUAAACCAGAUUUAUCUCUCAUUUAUGAUGACACUGUAUUAAUAGGAACUUGAAUGCAACAUCUUCAGUUGGUCUUAUCUCUCUUCGUAACCGUUUUAAGAAUAAAUUGGCCCCAUUUAAAGCAAUGCUCAACGCAUCUUUACUUUUGAAAACGGUUCAAGUGCUUGUCGAACCUCAGACUUCUCUGUUGCUGUUUUUAAUUCAUUGAUCUUCCUUAACUGUUUUUUCAAUCAGCAAUUAUUGUGGCGGCUCUUAAAGUGCUCAGAGUCUUGGAGCUGUUCAGAAGUUUCUUUUUACAGUUAGCGCUGCAAGAUUUGUGCUAAUCCAAGUUAAUGCCACUUUGGAAUGGUUAGGUGAUGCAUGUAUCAAUUUCAUAUUGGCUUAACGUGAGGAUUGAAGAUGAAAUUAAAUGGACAUACCUCCAAUCAUUCAAAUGCAACACUGAGAUGGAUGUUGAGACUCAGGCAGGGAGAGCUUUUUCUAGCCUUUUCUAGGCAAUCCUCCAGGGGUAGAAGAACUUCCAUCACUGCUUACCAUUGGCCAUACUGGCUGGGCUGAUGGGAAUUAGAGUGUCAGUGCAAAUGGCAGCUGGCUUAGGAUUUCACCACUAGCUUUUUGUUGCUCUGGUACAGCCUUCACCAGCCUGACACCCUCCAGAUGUUUUUGGACUACCAUGAGGUGUAGCCAGCACUGUGGUCUAAACCACUGAGCCUCUUGAGCUUGCUGAUCAGAAGGUCAGUGGUUUGAAUCCCUGUGAUGGAGUGAUCUCCCAUUGCUCUGUCCCAGCUGCUGCCAACCUAGCAGUUGGAAAGCCCACCAGUGCAAGUAGAUAAAUAGGUACCACUGUGGUGGGAAGGUAAACAGCGUUUCCGUGCGCUCUCAUUUCCGUCACGGUGUUCUGUUGUGCCAGAAGCGGUUUAGUCAUGCUGGCCACCUGACCCAGAAAGCUGUCUGUGGACAAACGCCGGCUCCCUCGGCCUGAAGGCAAGAUGAGUGCCGCAACUUCAUAGUCACCUUUGAUUGGACUUAACUGUCCAGGGGUCCUGUAUGGAGAGUAUCAGGUUAGUGAAGCCUAUUUUAGAAUCCCAUGCACAAAACUCCAUACCUUCUCGGCAGGUGUGCAUCAGCUAACUUACAGCCAUAAUUCUCAUGCAACCAACUUUGUGCAAGUCAGAUUCCCUGUAUGAUUGAUUACAGCAUUACAUUUGUGACUGUGAGAUAGAUAUUUUAUGUAAGUUUUAAAAUUCAUUUUAAAUUAUAUAACAGGAUCACUCUCUGAGCACCAGAAUCUUUCUGCUUAGAAGCCAUAUUUUAGUCAAGAUUUGUGAGAUUUUUCUUCCCUUCUUUAUCCAAGCUCUCAGUAGAACAGGAAAACCUCUGACACAUUGCUGCGUUUGCUCUUACUGUUCUAAAUUUAUAAUUGGUUGCACGUUUCCUUUUCUUAAUGAAAUCAAUCACACCAAAUAGAGCUGCUAUGUUUGAAAGAAAGAAAAAAGCAUCUGAGAACAGCAUUUCCUAAGCUGAUAUGUUUUCUGACUGUGGCUAUUAUUAUAAUAUUAAUUACUAUUAUUAAUCACUUUCCAUGAGGCAUCCUGAAGUGAUUAAUGCCUGGAUAGCCCAGUUGGCUAGAGUGUGGUCCUGGUAACAAUCCCUGUAUGGGACAGCUGCAUAUUCCUGCAUUGCAGGGGGUUGGACUAGAUGACCCUCAGGGUCCCUUCCAACUCUAUAUUUCUAUGAUAAUGAUUCUAUGAUUUACAAUAUAGUAAAAAUAUAUAUAAAACAGACAAGGUGGUUUUCUAUACUAUUUUCCUUACUUCUUCUUCAGCCACUCCAUUCCAUUCCCCAUGGUUUCCAUAGCCAUCAAGCACACUCAGUAUUUGACUGGACUAUUUGUGGGGACUGGGGGAGGGACUUAGGCUUUCUUCUAGUUUUUUUUAAAAAAUUUUUUUGCUGUGAUAUUAUCCUGAGCCUUCUGAUCCCUCCCUCUGAUAUAUAGCUGCUGGCGUUUUGGCUAGCUAUGCAACAGCACUCAAAGGAUUGAGUUGAAAUUAGAAUAUAUUAUGAUGGUUCUGUUACCAAAUUCAUAAUGUGGUGAAUUCCUGUAAAUGUAUAUUAUAGCUGAGGAAUUCUCUGUAUAACAUAGGAAGCCUGUAGUACACGAUCAUAUCUCUGCAUUAGGGCCACUUUAUUCCUUUGAGAAACAAGACUGUUUGGAGAAAACAGGACUCAUUGAGUCUUUUGUCAGAUUUUCAUUGUACUUUUCAAAAAUUACAUUUCCUUGCUCUGUGAUUUACAAUACUAACAUCCUCUGUAUUGACAUAAAAUAUUGACUGAGGUUGGCAAUGCACAUAUUGUUCCAGAGUUUGAGAUGAAGUAUUUUGUAUCCCACUUUCAAUUUCUUCGCCUCCAGCUUUAUGGAUUGUAAUUAAUUUGAGCUUUGGGCAGUGGCAGAGGAGGAGGAGUGUGGGGGAAGCGUACCGCCCCUGGCAGCAUGAUCCCGGUGAGGUGCCAUCGCGGCUCCCCCCCACCUGUGAUGGGUGCCACACCCCCAGGCGGCGUGCCACACCCAUACGGGUGGCGCACUACACCCCCAGGACAUGUGCCAGCCCUGCCCCCUCCUGCUCUUCGCCCCCCAGUGCUGGAACAUGAAGCUCUGCCACUGGCUUUGGAUAGUAUGGAUAUGUACAGUGGUACCUUGGGUUACAUACACUUCAGGUUACAGAUUCCGCUAACCCAGAAAUAGUGCUUCAGGUUAAGAACUUUGCUUCAGGAUGAGAACAGAAAUCGUGCUCCAGCGGCGCGGCAGCAGCAGGAGGCCUCAUUAGCUAAAGUGGUGGUUCAGGUUAAGAACAGUUUCAGGUUAAGAACAGACCUCCAGAACGAAUUAAGUUCUUAACCUGAGGUACCACUGUACUUCAUACAUACAUACAUACACAAUUUUAUUUGUAUGAUGACUUUUCACAGUUUGAACCAUGCUCAAGGCGGCUUACAACAUGAAAGAAAUACAUAACUACAACAUAGCAAAGAGAGCCAUAAACAAUAAAUAAAACAUUAAAAAAUUACAUAAUCAAACUGAAUCAUUUCCACAUAAAUCACAAGAUUUUUUUUUAAAAAACAGCAACAACCACAUCCCCCAACAAAACCCCCCAAAUAACACCCCAGCCCAAUAUUAUGUUCAGCAGCCUCAGCUUUUGCAGUUGGAGUCAGUCCGGGCCAGGUGGGAAAAGGUCUUCAAGGCAGGGAGCAGGUCUUUCAGAACUCACAGCCAAGGGGGCCUGCACUAUUGCUGCAUUAGCCCUUGUAGAUCCACUUUAGCUCUGGAAGUGCUACAACAUAUUAGAGGUAUAAAAAAGAUAUUAUGGCACUAUAAAGCACCUCUGAUUUAUGACCAGUGGAUGUAGCUUUGUCUUAUUACUUUGGACUUGUCUCUUGCCAUUGUUUCUUGGAAGUCUAGCAAAAUUUAUGGGUGGAAGUCCCCCUCGCUUUCAUAAUUUCUGUGCCCCUUUCACGUUUUUGUGCUUGCGUUUUAAAUCCGUUAGUUCCUUAUUCUGUCAAAGGUGCAGUUUUCGUUUGCAGCUACAACAUUUCAUCCGACAUGGGUCAGCUCCAGCGAUGUGCAUCGACCCUCCUGUUUCAGGCGUAUGUGCAGCUCGCUUGCAUCUGAAGUGAAGCAGCAAUGUGGCUAAGAGAGGGAAGGUGCCAGGAUGAGGUUGCUUGGAUGCUCUGAAGGGGCAAAGCCUAGUUAACCCUGAGGGAGAUAUGGACUAGCUCAUAAAUAAUGACAAGGCCCACAGCUCUAUUUCUGGAAUACCGGUAGGUUGAAUUGCCCAAUUUGCAAAAGGGGCUAGUGGAGCAGGAUCCUUCUUGCUCUCUGGAAUGUAUCAAAGGCUCAGCUCCAAUGGUAAAUAAAGCCCCCUUCCAAGCUCAAUUUAUUAUGAUUGCAGUGGUCUUGGUCCUUGGAUUUAGGCACUGGUAGUGGUGGCUGUAAUGCCAAUGGAGGUACAGUGGUACCUCGGAUUACAUACGCUUCAAGUUACAUACGCUUCAGGUUACAGACUCCGCUACCCAGAAAUAGUACCUCAGGUUAAGAACUUUGCUUCAGGAUGAGAACAGAAAUCGUGCUCUGGCAGCGUGGCGGCAGCAGGAGGCCCCAUUAGCUAAAGUGGUGCUUCAGGUCAAGAAGAGUUUCAGGUUAAGAACGGCCCUCUGGAACGAAUUAAGUACUUAACCUGAGGUACGACUGUGGACGUGUGAUUUGCUGUUGCAGUAUUGCACCAGUGUGAGGCAUAGGAGCCAACUCCUAGGGGCGAGGGGGAUUCGGCCUCCACAAUAAAAUAUUUGACAGCCCCCCACAAAGUUGAAGGGCAUUGCCAUUCAAAUGGUGUGCGUGCACUGGGUCACACAAUCAGUUAAGUGGGGUGGGGCUUACCUGCCCCCGAAAUAUUUUAUUCAAGUUGGUACCCCUGAUGUGAGGAGACGCAAGUUUGGAUUUUUUUUAAAAAAACUGGUGAAUAUAUCCACUUCAGAGGGAUGAUGUUUUGGGGACGUGGUCAAAGAGCACAGUGCAAAAUGCUUAACCUUCCUCCUGCUUGUCGAUCCGCACAUCCCAUGACUGUUUGCAACAGUACAAAAUCCUAGUUCUGCCAACAGGAGGCUCCUCCUUUAUUCAGCACUCAUCCUCAUUUGCACAAAGGUGAGAAGGUGGUCUUUAUGUUUGGCCUUUAUUGAGCAUUCAUUCUGGUUUGUUUACAGGGAAGUUACACGACAGUGAGCAUUCAUCUUGCAUUCAUCCUAAUUGCUUGCAGGAUGUUUACACAUCUUCCCAUGAAUCAUUUGCUCACCCCACACGUUUCAGUCCAUUUUCCUUUCACUUUCCUAAUUCCAAAAGUUUUUUUGCUUUUGUUAAAAAAUCGCUUUUUUAACAAAACACAGCAACAAAGCACAAUAAUCCGCUUUAAUUGUGCAAAACCUAAAGUUCUGAUAUGUCGCUUCUGUAACUUUUCUACAGACAUUCAUCUAUUAUUUCUGCAUGGUUUUUUACUGUUCUCUUUCAUGCCUCCUCACAAAUAUUUGCCCCUUUUUCAUUAUCUCCCUUCCCAGUAUUUGCUGGACUUUACUGGCUGUUGUUUGUUCAGCUGCUCUUGCUCAGAACCAUUUCUCAUUUCUCUUUGUAUUUAAUGUCAACAUUUGUGACACUUCUUUGUACAUUGCUAUGACUCAUGCCUCAUUUGGCUUCUCGUUCAUCUGCAAAUGACUGCAGGAUCUGUCCCUGCAGAGUUUUGCUAGGUUCGGGAAGAGAACACAUGGUCAUCUAAUGAAUGUAUGCUGUCUUGUUUUAACUGGUAAGCACAAGGAAGCAAAUUUGUUCAGUGCAUUAUGCAGUACCGUUCUCUGGUUCAGGCUAAUUUUGCUUCAUUGGCUGGAGGAUGCUGUUUGAUCAGUGUCAUGGGAAACUGCCUUAUACGGAGUCAGAUCACCAUAUUACUGUCUACACUGAUUGGCAGCAGCUCUCUGGGAUUUCAGACAUCCAGGGAAUGUUGUUGCCAGGGAAUGAAUCUAGGAUCUUCUGCAUGCAAAGCCGAUGCUCCACUACUGAGCUCCCUUUAAUAAGUAGAGAGAAAGCAAACAGCAAGUUAUGCACUUACUCUGUGCCUGAUGCCUGGCACAGACUCUGCAAAUAUUAAUAUUGUGCAGUUUGAAGUGACUGGAUACAUGAAAACUGAGUCCUUUUUGGAAAUAAAACAUUGUCAAGGCCCAUACGUUUAAUUAAAACUUUACUUGCAUGAUUUUCUUCAGAAACAGAACAAAAACAUCAAAUGAUACAUCCAGACAGUUCCAUAAGACAUAUGCCAGUCCAAGGAAUACACUCAGUAUCUUACAAAAUAUGAAAUAAUCCAAAUAGAUCUAUAAGCAAAGGCCUCUCUCCUUACAGUAUCCAUUUUGCUUGGAGCUGUUUUCCUGGAGAGCUUCAUUUACAUCCUUCCUCUCAAAGAGCCUGGGAACAAAGUCUAAAGGCAACUCCCUUCAAAAUGGCAAUUUGCAAUUUAAUAGCCUCCCAUGUGAUCUAAGGUUAAGCACUCACGUUAGCUGGCAGAAAACAACAAAAGUUAAUUAUCAACCUAUUUAGGAGCUCAGAGACAACUUCUUGCUUUUAAUUUAGCUUCAGUGGACUCAUCCAAGGCUCAUCCAGCAUAAUUUAAAUUGGUAUAAUUUACACCAGUGAAAAUCCCCCAAAAGGGGCGUUGCAGGGGUAGGACAGGGCAAAGAAAGACUUAUACCUGUUCCAACACCCCUUUACAUUGAUCACAUGCCCUAGCAACCCAGAAGAAAAAGGCUGGCAAAAGGACGAUCGAAGUUCCUCCAAGUUCCUCCUGAAUGGAGUUUGGAACAGGGGUAAUUUAUGCCAGGAUAAGUCCCAAGCUUUCUAUAGUUAGGAUUGCUCUGUCAACCAGGUGUACAUCCUUAUUGGUUUGCCAAUAGUUUUCCUUUUUAGGUUAGGGGAUGGGGAACUUGCGGCUGGACUCAGGUUCCUCAGGUUCUAAACCCGUGUCCUCAUGGGAUGCAUUAGGAUUCCUUGCUACAGGUGCUGAUUUUUAGGUGUACUUCUGUCUGGGUGCCUGAGUGAAUGAGGGAAAGGGAGAAGGAGGCAUGCAUCUUGCUACGAUGGUACGGAAUUAAUCCUGCAGAUGCAACCUGCGAUUUCUCCACCCCUCCUCCUGUGCCCUGGGGCUCACCUCCAAAAACAUCCCUUGCUGUCCUGCUUUUCAUAGCAGCCGCCAAGGCUUUGAGACAUCAGCACAUUCAGUUCUGAUUUUACUAAUGCUUCAUACACCAUUAACCUGCAAUGUCUGUUCAGAGACUUCAUUUUGAUAAACCUUGCUAAUUGUACAUUUUGCCAAGCAAGCUGUACAAAGCUAAAAGCUGACUAAAAGUUUUGCUUCUUGUGCAGAAUAAAAAAGAAGGAAACAAACUGGAGUCCUAAUGUAAGAUUUUUGUCAUCUCAUCUAGGCCAAUGCCAAAUCACUGUUGGUUCAAGCUCUGUUAAGAAGCAGAGACCAUCUUUCGGUAUUUCAUCUCUAUUAAAAAGGGGUUGCUAGUGCAAUGUUAUUCCCAUAGUUUACUCUCAGGGUCAAACUAGAGAUUAUACAAGGGCAUAUGAAACAUUAGCCUGACAGCUUCUUUUAAACAGAAUCCAUCAGUUCUGGAGUAUCAUUGGGGAUUUGAAAAGCACAAAGUGAUAUGAUUAUUUAACUGCUUUCCUCCCCCCCCCCACACCAAAUCACACCUCAGACAGCUUUUCCUCUUGUGAUCACCUGUUCGGAAGAGGUUUCUGUUGUUUCAGAAAGGUUGUAUGCGUCAGGAGGGAGGUCAGCAAUAGAUCACACAGAGUAAGUGAAGUUAACUCUUUAUUAGAAGAAACAAGGCUGCUCAGUAGUGCUAGGCCUAAUUGAGCACAGUAAUUCUUCCCAGCAGAUCUUGCCCCUAUGAGGCAGUUGUGAGGAUGGAAGGUCCCCGCCUUCCUACAGCACCCUAAGUCUCCUCCUCCCCUGGGUCCUUCCCAAGCAACCUGAGACUCUGCCAGCAUGCCUGACUCUACUCCUCCCUCUUCAUACCUCUUCUGGUUCUGAGAGACCAGGGGGGAGUGAAACUUGUCACAGCAGGAGGGGGAGACACUCUAGUUUCUUCACUGGCCUGACUUAUCUCUUCCUCUUGGUAUCCCUCCUCUCCUGCUUCUGCUUCUCUCUGUCACAGACUCCCCCUGCUCACUAGACCCUGUUACCUCUUCAGCUUCCAACACCUCCUCCCAAUCUUCUCUGUCUUCUCCUUCUGACCACUCAUUGUUGUCCCACCACCAAUCCCCAGGGUUUGAGCCUUCGUCCCUUAGGGGUUCCCCAGGUGGUACUUUCCACCACUCCUCUGUGCCCAGCCAGCCCAUGACAAUAGGAUAAUGCUACAUGCAUUGGCAUUAAGGAACUGACACACUCCUACCCAUUAAAAUAAAACUAAAACAACAACAACAACAAAACAACAACAACAACAAUUUAUUAUUAUUAUUUAUACCCUGCCUAUCUGGCUGGGCUUCCCCAGCCACUCUGGGUGGCUUUCAACAAAAUAUUAAAAUACAGUAAUGCAUCAAACAUUAAAAGCUUCCCUAAACAGGGCUGCCUUCAGAAAGUCAUGUUGACCCAGAUCUUAAGGAGCCAGUGUUACGUAGACAUCCGAAUUAGCCCUAAGUGUGCUAAGAAUAUAUACACUGAAUCCUGGCUCCAUUCUAUUCUGGAAAUUGCAUUGGUUGCUGUUGCUGCUGUGGUUCAGAUAUCAAUUCAAUUGGGCACUCAUGAGUCCUCAGCAUAGUAUGCAUCUUUUUUGUGCUGUUUCCUAAAAUCUGCCUGACAGCAGUAGAUGUCACUGUAGUCAACAAGAAACAUGCAAGAGAAGAAAAUAGAGUAGUGUGGUUAAAAACAAAGGUGGUAUUCAACUAGCUAGGUUAGGUCCAUCAAUUUCAAUGGGCUUGCUCUGAGUAAAACUUAGCUGAGCACCACACCAACAAUUUAACAUGAUUGCCCAGGGACCCAUGGAAUUUUUUUCUUUCUCCACACCAGUCACCCUCAGAUAGAAGGAGUUGUCUCUUGAGGAUUCAGAAUCUGUCACUGCAGGCAAUAUGCCUUUGAAAUAUAUUGACGAUUUGUGGAAAGGUGGCAUUUAGGGAAGAAGGAUCAUGUUACUAAUGCACAUGUCUUGUUGUUGUAUGAUUUAGGUGUCUUGUCAUUUCCUCGCCUCCACACACAUUUCCCAUGUGAAACAAGGCAAAUCCGAGUCUCUAAUUUGGUUUCCAACUCUGUUUUGCUUUUUUUUAAAAAAACAUUGAUUUAUUUAAUAACUGCAAGAAAGUAAUAAAGUGGAACACCAUCUAACAAAUAACUUUUGCUGAAAUCAUCUCAUCUCAUAUAAUUAUCAAAAUGAACUGGGCUGAAUGUCCCUCUAAACAAUCCAAAUAUGCUUGUUAAAAUUAGAUUCAAAACCUUCAGCCAGUUGAAAAUGGUAUUAAUGAUUAGAAAUAAGACUCACUACAUCAGUGCUAAAACAUGCUGGGCUGCCCCCAUUUCCAUGCAUUAGAAAUCCUCAGAUCAGGGCAGGAGGGUUUUCAGAGGCCAUGAGGAAUGUACCGUAUUUUUCACUCUAUAAGAUGCACCAGACCACAAGACGCACCUAGUUUUUGGAGGGGAAAACAAGAAAAAAAUAUCCUGAAUCUCAGAAGCCUGCAUUCGCUCCAUAUAAUGCACACACAUUUCCCCUUACUUUUUAGGAGGGAAAAAGUGAGUCUUAUAGAGCAAAAAAUAGGGUAUAUGUUUGUUAGAUUUGUGUUGCAAAUAUUGUCUGUUCUACAAUAUUGACAUUGUUAUGUGCAUUGUUUAGGGCUGCAUAUAGUUUUAUGAUUAGAGGCUGCUUUCCUUAAUUCAGUGCAUAUAGGCACAACCCCACAAAGCAACAAAUCAUCAACUGAAGUGUAUUAUGUCUCAAAACAAAGUAAGUGACAUUUAUAGCGAUGCUUGGGAAAGAGGGGGCCUAGAGUUUAUAAUACAGAGGGGUGAGUCAGAACGCAGACAACAAGCAUUCCUAUUAGGGUCAGUGCAUCUCGGAGACAAAUGUCUUCCAGCACUUAGCUCCAGCUUACAAUGUUGAUGGCCUGGAGUAGGAAGGGGGGGGGAAGGUCCAUGACCCACUUCAAGAAGAGUGCACUUGGAUUCAAUCUGCAGUGGCUUUUAUCAUGUUUGCAGGAGCAUGACAACCCCUUGGCUCACAAGGUCAACUUAGGGUGAACACAAGUCAGAUCAUUGGGGAACUUAUCCCAGUGCUACCAACUUUGAAUGGCAGCAGAUUUCCAGGUGGGUCUCAAACAGGACUUAUCCAUCACCUGAUCCUGGCAGAACGACAGAGAGGAGAAAGAGGAUCCCGGUGAAGCUGAGACUGGGACACAGACUGGCAAACUGGGAAUGGAGGAGGAAGUACUCACAUGGUGAUGGACGAUGGCAAAGGGGUGGAGGUCAAUACACAAGAAUCAAAGCAGCAGAACCCAUCACCAGAGUGGCCCCUCUCCCCACUAAUAUGGUGGGCUCUGAGGUGUAGGGAGCAGAGAGAGGGCUGCUCUAGGAGGUUGAGGCAGGCAAGAGCCCACAGCCUGGCCAAGUGAGGCUCGCUAGCUCUGGGAGAAGCUGUGUGACUCCUCAGCUGCAGCAGGCUUGGAACAGGUGAGGGUCACAUGCCUUGUCAAGCCCUGAUGCUGCAAUCAGCAUGGGAGUUGCAAUCCAGCAACAUCUGGAGGUCAUCAGGUUGGGCAUGGUUGCACUACAGGGGGUUGGGCUAGAUGACCCUUGGGGUCCCUUCCACUCCACAACUCUAUGAUUCUAUAGGAAACCACUGCCAUAGGAGGCACAUAGGGAAGGCAAGCCAACGAGGUGGCAAAAAGAUUCAGGCAGCUGCUCAUUCAGCUUUGAAUAUGGGCAACUGGUUGAUCAUCUGCUUUGUGGCUAAAGGGUGCCAGUAUCCAUUUCUGCACCACUUAACACGAUGGAGUCUUAUUUCAAAUAACAGACUGCAAGGAGGUCUUUAAAGUCGAAACUCCGGUUGCAGCGCUCAUUAUAUUCUGCUUUUGUUCCUCUCUAGAUUGCACGCUCAGAUGACAGAGGGAACAGGAGCUAUGGACACGCGAGGUACAUGCGAAGUUCAGCAGACUCAGCUGGCUUCCUUCUGUAACCUUCCCUAAUAGGAACAUAAAAGAAUCGUUGGCAUGUCUGGCAAAGAGAGAGAGAGAGAGAGCGCGCUAAAAAAGCAUCCCCCAAAGCUGAAAUGGUUUUCAUUCUUUUUCAAAUUACUUCUGACAUUAAACUUUGCCCUUGUUCAAGCUCAGGCUAACAACACAUCCAUCUUCCUGAAGUCUAAUAGUAUAGUUUGGAAGGAAUUCUGUAGUUCAAAAACACACACACCAAGGAUCACAAUUUAGAUAUGGUAAAGCUGUUGUGAGUGUGCAUACGCACACACAUACAAACAUAUUGUUGGAGCCCUUCAUUCUAAGAAUAAGACAGUGGUUCUGAUCCAAGGCUGACUCAUGUGGCAGUUGGGUCCAUGGUAGCUUGCAGAGCAUCCCUUGUUUGAAGCCAGGCAGCCGUUGCUGGCUGCUGCAAUUAUUAGGAUUUAGCUUUUGGACUGCCACUGAAACUGCAAAUUGCUGGGCGUGUGUGUGUGUGUGUGUGUGUGUGUGUGUGUGUGUUUGUUUGUAGUGGCAUGCAAAAAAGCUUAAGUUUCCAAGUGACAGCAACUUCACUCAACCAGCAGGGAGCCAGAAGGUGCAGACUUUCAAGUAAUUAUCUAUACACUGCUAUAAGCCCAGUGCCCAUGAGUUUGGCCUUGAAGCCAUUAUGGAUGAAAAGCCAUCAAACAAGCUGCAGUAAGUAACCUUUACAAUACACUGUCCAAAGUCAGAGUGCAAUAAGCUUUACUUAGGCAGACAUGAUUAUGAAUGCCACUGGAAUCAGACUAUUGAGAUUAAACGGCCUUGAAACCUCAAUUAGUCCCUUUGGAUUGAUGACAUCUAGGUGGGGAGAGAGGUGAAGAGGAACAAUUUUCAUAUCGUUUAGUCAGAUUUUUAUACAUAGUUAUUUCCCCUUUUAAUUUAUGCACAACCUUUUUUCAAAGACCAAGGGGGGUGUAAUAAUAAUAAUGGUCUAGUAUAGAUAUAACUGGAUGCACUUGUCUCUUUUUAACAGAAGCUUCCUCCUGUAAAAUUAGAUUUCUAAAGAAUUCAUUUUUUCAAACUGUUUAACUUGUCACCUUACUAAGACUGCAAUCUUAACCAUGUCUACUCAGAAGUAAUUUUAUUUGUGCUUUAGUGGGGUUACGUUUGCAGUCUACAUUCUUAAACAAAAGCAUUUGUUUGGGGAAGAAAUUGGUCUGUGGCCUUAUAGUCACAUUAUGUCUAAUUGUCAUACCACCCUACCUAGUAUUGGGAGUACGUUGGGCCAAAGUUGGGAGUAAGUAAGUCCAAAAGGUGAAAAGGCUGCUUAGUGUGCUGUCAGAGAAAAAUAAAUAUCCACUUGGAGACAGUGGUUACUCUAAGAAAGUGGAGGGGCUAGUCUGACUGGUUUGCUUGCUUUCCUCCUUUCUUGCAAUGCAGGUUUUACCUCUGCCAUCACAAUUAUAUUCACACCACCCAGUAAGAUGGGUUGUCAGGAAGGAUUACAUUAUCUAAGCUGAACAUGCCCCCCCCCCCAAUUCUAUGUAGUAUCUAACUUGUGUCUUAUUUGUGGUGUUUUAUUGUGACUUGGAGGUUAUGCAGCCAAGAGGAACUGGGAGCAGCUACAGUAUGACAUCACUGGCAUGAAUCCAAAAUCCUCCAUAAACACAAAAUGGAUAUAAAAUAUGUUGUUGAUGCAAGUGGGAUCCCUGACCAGAACCUUGUGUAGAGUAGAAGUGAAUUUGCUCUCCACCACAAUAAUGUUAAUUUUUUACUGGAAACAGUAUUAAAAUAGUUACAUAUAAAUGCCACAAAAUACAAAGUAACACAUUGCUCUUUAACAGCAGUCAAUGUGGUCCGGGUUUUUUUUUGUGCUCAACAACUUUCCUCUCUCUGCUCCCAGAGAGAGAUCUUCCUACUGAGAGAGUAAUCAGUGUGAGUGUAGUGGUUAAGAGCCAGUGGUUGAGAGGCAGUGUGGUGUAGUGGUUAAGAGCGGUAGUCACAUAAUCUGGGGAACCGGGUUCGCAUCUCCACUCCUCCACAUGCAGCUGCUGGGUGACCUUGGGCCAGUCACACUUCUUUGAAGUCUCUCAGCCCCCUCACCUCACAGAGUGUUUGUUGUGGGGGAGGAAGGGAAAGGAGAAUGUUAGCCGCUUUGAGACUCCUUAAAGGGAGUGAAAGGCGGGAUAUCAAAUCCAAACUCUUCUUCUUCUUCUUCUUCUUCUUCUUCUUCUUCUUCUUGGGUGUCCGGGAUGAGUCAUCUUGCCUUAUUGGCUAGAAACAAACCCCUCUUGCCUAAUGUAUGGUGUGAAUGUGGACCUCACCCAGUUAGGGGUGCUGUAAGAAUUCCAGCAGGGUUUCAAGUGCUUGUCGGCAGAAUUCAGGUGCUUUGAGUGGGACUUCCUGGCUUGAUUUAGUUCAUUCACCCUUGACUUUCUCUUAACCUAAAGCAGGGGAGGCUCUCUUUAGGGUCCUGGCUGGGCAGCAGUGCCACUGCGCUUUAUUCGUGAGUGGAGAUUUGAAACCAGAUUCUAACUAUAACACCUCCCUGACUUUCAACAACUCCAGGGUGUAUUUCAAUAUUCAGGGCCAUUUUGCUAUCAGACUUGCAACUCAAGGAGAGGGCAACAUUGGGCAGUUCCUCAACUCCCCCAAAUGAUGUACAAUCUCGUUCCCUCCCAAGAUUGCUGGCAUACAUGCAUACACCUGAACCGUUACACAGACUUGGGUAGGGCAGUAGCAAAAUGGUUGAGCAUCUUCUUUGAAUGCAGAAGUUCCUAGGCUCAAUUCCUGGCAUAGCCAAGCAAGGCUGGGAGAGACCCCUGUCUGACAUCCCAGAGGGCUGCUUGUGGACAAUAUUGAGCUAGAUUGACCAGUGGUCUGAGUCUGACUCAAUAUAAGGCAGCUCCCUAUGUUUCUGUGAACAAGUGCAUGCGUUUCCUGAACAUCCUUCUCCUAACAGCUCAUGUUUGCAGGAGAACUGGUCUCUUGAAAACCUCCUUAACCCUUUCUUUUCCACCUUGCUCAUUCCCUGCCCCCAGUGCUACUCCUGUAGAAGUGGUGGUUUCAGGAAUGAGAGCUUGUUCCACGUACUCCUUUUCUUACUGUCAAGAGCCUUCCAUUUCCCCCACCUAAGUGAUCUCAGCAGCUGCGGUAGCACUGCAGUGGAGUUGAGUAUUUUCCAUUCUGUCUCCUGUUGAAACAUUUCAAAUUGACAACUUGUUAAGCUGCUUCUGUGCUUGUUGAGAAACAAUUCCUCUGUGUAAAUUGGUUCACCCGAUAGCACUCUUUCACUUUCUGUAGUCUAAUGUAACAAGACCACAGGAAAGAGGCCUCUUCUGAAACAAGGAACAUCUAUCUAAGUAGCAGUUGUUUCAUAGGAAAUAGGAGAAAGCUAGUAAAAAGCUCUGGCAUUUAUGGUGGGGUGGGGGGCAGAAGAAGUUUAGUAUUUGAUUACGGAUGUGUAAAGCAGAUCACCUUGAUAGAUGAACAUUUAGUAAAUUGUCGAGAGUCCUUUCAGUGCAGCUGUUCUUUUUCUGUUGUGGAAGCGUCCUCAGUGAUUGGUGGGCAACAAGAGCACCUCACCUGAACAGAGAAUUCCCGUCAUGACCAGGGAGUGUAGGGCAUGGGGGAAAACCCACUGGAUUCCCCGUAAUGUCCUGGUGCAUGCCAGCCCUGCCCAUCCCACCCCUGACCUUUGCACAUUGAGCAGCAAGGACUGAGUGGUGAUUGGGAAUGAAUGCCUGAAAAGAAGGCACCUUUCAUCAUAUGUGGUGGUCGUGUAAAGUAAUAAAAGCAUUCUGUGAAAGAAUAUAGAAUGAAAUGAAAAAUAAAUGUUUAAAACUACUUAAAAACCAGAAGCUUUUUUUAUUAGGAUUUGUAGGUACCGAUAUUCCAAAGGAUCAGAAAAGACUUUUUAUGUAUGCAACAACAGCUGCGCGGAGUUACUAGCCCAGAGAUGGAAAGAAGAUAAAGUCCCGUCCAGAGAGGAAUGGCAAACCAAGCUGAUAGACUACGCUGAAAUGGCAAAACUGACCAGAAAGCUCAGGAACCAAGAAGACAAAACCUUUAAGAAAGAAAGGGGGGGGGGAUCAUAAUUUAUUUAGGAGACCACUGUAAGCAGAUGAAAACAUUAGCAGGGAUUUAAUAACACUUGUAAUGUAAAAAGUACUAUGGACAAUAUGGGCAGAUUUAAAAUAUGGAUUAUGAAAUAAUAUGCAGUUGAAAAUGUUGACAAUAAGACCCAAGGAAGGGAUGGACUCCUUUGGUAUUGUUAUAAUUCUACACAGGUGCCCAUGAGAAACCCAUCAGCAUUUUAGUGAGAAUUCCUCUUAAUAUACACAUGUUUGUAUGCAUUUUUUUUGCCUAAUACACAUGUUUAGCGAACAAUUUCCCCAUAUGUAAUUGAUUUUUGUAUGUUAUUUUCACUCAUAUAUAUGCAUGUUAGGCAUGCUUUAGGUGUGUUCUCUUGUGGUCUGUUAUUGUUUUGCCUGUCUUCCACUUUAGUUUAGAGAAUUUCUAAAAUUAACUUCACAAUUUGGCACAGUGUGUUCAGUGUGCCAUACAUGUCUUCCCUCCCCACUCAAUAGGUUACUGUAGCAUGUCAUGGGCACAACUGAUUUAAAACACACUAUGCAAAAAGGAAUCAUACCAGGAUUCCUUUUGGUGCUGUAUUUUUAUCAACUCACAUGGUAAAGUCCCAGGAAACGACAUUUCAAAAUUUCCCUUUGCAUGGUGUUUUCAUCCAUGUGUGUGUGCGCUUCUGUACACCCGUAAUCUAUAAGGAUGAAAGAGAGAAAGAUGUGAAGAGAAAACUGCAACAAACAGCACAUUCUGAUCCAAGUUCGUACAUCAGAACUGAAGCAUGGAAAACCUGAGCUCUGCAAACCUGAGUAAUAAUUUGGAAUAUCCAAAUCUUGAGAGAACUUCAGAUGGACAUAAUUUUAUAAGCCUCCCUAGUCCUGAGCUGAGCUGCUUAGGGCGGUGUAGGUGAGGCCAUAAAUUCAUAAAUACAAAUAAAUAUCUCCCAUAAUGUUAUCAUUAUCACCAAAGGUCAACUGUAUCUGCUGAACUAUCUCCUGCAGUUAUCUCAGCUAGCUCUUCAAUGGAAUGCCCUAUUGCUUUGCUCCUCUUGUAUUGAUACAAGGUUGAUGCAGUUUGAUUCACCCUUUUGUAUUAUUCUUGCUAGUGUAGCAGUUUUCUAUUGUGUUCUUCAGAUUUUCUUUUUGCAGCCUCCUUGAAAGCCAGGCUUCAAUAGAUUGAAAAAGUCUUGGUUCAAUUCCAUGAGCAAAAGGUAACUGCAAAACCCUGCCCCCCCAAAAAUAUGUUCUUUCCCCCAGCUCUGAUUUAAUAUUAUUUUCAUUACAAUAUUGAUCCUAUCCAUUGUGUUGUCUGUAACAUUAACAAGGGCACCAAGCCUGGCCAGGUUUCCUGCCAUUGUAAAAUGCUGACUUUAACUGAUGCUGUGCUGAAAGCCCCACAUUCUGCAAGCAGAAGAUGCAAACUAUACGAUGAGGAAUUUAUGGACACUUCUUAGGAUUUUCACAUAGUUGGUGCAUGGCGUGUGUGUCCCACAAUAAAUGCACAUUUGUUGUAUGUGGUGUUUGCUCCAGAUUGCACUGUUUUCCAGGAUGCUAUUGUCACUGAGAUAUUGCAUUUAUUACCCACAAUGCCAAGUACAGUAUUUCAUAGUUUGGGAAGUGUGUGUGUCUAAAGGUAAAGGUAAAGGGACCCCUGACCAUUAGGUCCAGUCGUGACCGACUCUGGGGUUGCGGCGCUCAUCUCGCUUUAUUGGCUAAGGGAGCCGGCGUACAGCUUCCGGGUCAUGUGGCCAGUAUGACUAAGCCGCUUCUGGCAAACCAGAGCAGCGCACGGAAAUGCCGUUUACCUUCCCGCCAGAGAAGCUUUGACGUGCUUUCAAACUGCUAGGUUGGCAGGAGCAGGGACCAAGCAACGGGAGCUCACCCCAUCGUGGGGAUUCGAACCGCCAACCUUCUGAUCAGCAAGUCUUAGGCUCUGUGGUUUAACCCACAGUGCCACCCUGCAUAUUUUUAACCAACUUGUUCCUUUUGUGAUUCCAGUGUGGAUUGUGGUUGUUCAAGGGUUAUAGACAGUGUACUGGAUACUUCCUCUGAUAUCUUCUUUCUAAGCUGCUCUACUGUCUCCUUUUAUUUUGUUAAGGUCUAGUGUUUUAAUUACAUUUAAAUGUGUUAUUUCUCCCUACUGCUGGGAAAAGCUGUGCUGUCGUGGUCGUCUAGCUGGCAAAGACCAACUUGCCCUUACUUGCUCUUGCCACUUCAUUGAUGUGCCCUUUUUGAACCUCUUGUGAGCAUGUUUGCUGGAGGCUGUGUACUCCUCCUAUCCUGCUGGGCUGGCCUGCAUCUCUCUGUGUGUUCUUCUUUUUAUAGGACAAACUGCAGCACAGUUAUUCCUGCACUAUAAGGUCCCAUGGACUGUAAGAAGAUCAAACCUAUCCAUUCUUAAGGAAAUCAGCCCUGAGUGCUCACUGGAAGGACAGAUCCUGAAGCUGAGGCUCCAAUACUUUGGCCACCUCAUGAGAAAAAAAGACUCACUGGAAAAGACCCUGAUGCUGGGAAAGAUGGAGGGCACAAGGAGAAGGGGACGACAGAGGAUGAGAUAGUUGGACAGUGUUCUCGAAGCUACCAGCAUGAGUUUGACCAAACUGCGGGAGGCAGUGGAAGACGGGAGUGCCUGGUGUGCUCUGGUCCAUGGGGUCACGAAGAGUCAGACACGACUAAACAACUAAACAACAACAAGAUACCACAUAUUAUGCCUCAGACUGUACACAUGUGAUUUAGCAGAUAUGGGCACCAGAUUGGGGCUUGGGGAAGUUGGUGCUCAAAAGGUGGCGCAUAAGCCAUAUCCACACUUUGCAUUCACAGCACUAUGAUACCACUUUAGCAAUGGCUCCCCCCCCCCAAAUUCUGGGAGCUUCAGUUUGUUAAGGGUACUGAGAGCUGUUAGGAGACCACUGUUUCCCUCCCAGACAGCUACAAUUCUCAGAGUGGUUUAAAAAUAAAUUUCUCUUCACAGGAAACUCUGUAGCUCUGCAGCUCCUAGAAUUUGUUUGGGGAAGCCAUGACUGCUUAAACUGGUAUCAUAGUUCUUUUAAUGUAUCGUGUGAAUGUGGCCACAGUCUGAACAUGAGUUUUUUGAAUAGUGGAUUAGGCCAAGAAUUGUUAAAAAAAAAAGUCACUGAUUCUUCAUCUGGUCAUAAUCUCAGUCAAGAUGGUCUGUGACCACAUUCAGACUCCAUGGCUUCAACAUUAGCCAAGUCCUCCCUGCUCAGUUUAUGAUCUAGCCUGAUGAAGAGUUCAGGGGAGCUCAAAAAUUUACACACUAUUUAUUAGACUUGUUAGUCAGUUGUUACUCAGAGGUCUCCAAGUGACUUGCAACACAUUUAAAAACAUAAACAUGAAUACAUUAUACCAUUAACAUAAUUCAUCCGGAACACCUGCAAUUCAUUAUAUGUGUGUAUGUGUUUGAUCUUUUGUGAUACUUUAGUUGGCCAUAAUAUGGAUUUUACUAUUAUUCUGAUGGGUCAACAAGGCUGCCUUUACUUUUUUGUAAUUUGGAUAAAUAUUUGAUCACUGGAAAUCUUACUCAGAUGCCUUUGAAUCAUGUAUACAUGGGGUGUUAGUAUGAGCUCAGAGCAGGAAGGGUGUGUUUAAUUGUACAUGUUGCCAUUUACUAUGCUUUAGGAAGCAGAGAACCCAAUGUUCUGAACUCUGUUUUUGAAUUAUUGUAAGAUUUUCCCCUGCUGUUUGUAAUGAAGUUCAAAAUGAGGUUUUCAAAGACAUGAGGUUUUCAAAGAAAAAAAUUAGAGUUUUGCUAACAACUGUUUCUGUCGUUGGAAGCUGCUAUUUCCUAACAGUGAUAAAUUACUCUAUCUGGUUGCUAGGUGCCCAUCAACCUUCAGGAAAACUAUACUCACUUCAAUCACGGAGUGAGUUUAAAUUUAGAAAAUACCAGCACGUUGGGGGG
This 32373-nucleotide long non-coding RNA is filed under the name Podarcis lilfordi (Lilford's wall lizard). Lineage: Eukaryota; Metazoa; Chordata; Lepidosauria; Squamata; Lacertidae. The record is from RNAcentral.